RNAcentral lists this ribosomal RNA (349 nucleotides) under uncultured bacterium. RNAcentral's name for it is "bacterial SSU rRNA". It matches the Rfam family "Bacterial small subunit ribosomal RNA", at positions 1 to 334 of the family's 1533-position model. The record is from RNAcentral.
UACGACGUAUCAGAGUUUGAUCCUGGCUCAGGACGAACGCUGGCGGCAUGCCUAAUACAUGCAAGUCGAACGCUGAAGCACUCUGCUUGCAGAGUGCGGAUGAGUGGCGAACGGGUGAGUAACACGUGGGAAAUCUGCCUAGGAGUGGGGGAUAACAUUCGGAAACGGAUGCUAAUACCGCAUAUCUUUUUGAACCGCAUGGUUCUUAAACGAAAGACGGCUUCGGCUGUCGCUCUUAGAUGAUCCCGCGGCGUAUUAGUUAGUUGGUGGGGUAAAGGCCUACCAAGACCAUGAUACGUAGCCGACCUGAGAGGGUGAUCGGCCACACUGGGACUGAGACACGGCCCAG